GUUGUCCCAGUAAAGUGCUUCUCUUUGGAUUCACGGAUAGUUCUCAGCUGUGGGCUUCAGCUGAAAUGCCAGAAAACAGGUGAUGUUCCACUUGAUAUCUGCAGAGACAGCUCCUGCCCUCACAAAGCUGCUUGGGUGACAGGACAGCUUGAGAGAAGACAGCGCGGCUGGGCUGUGCCCAGAAGGAAUCCACAGAGUGACGUGGCCGAGGGUGACUGAGGGGGAUUUAGGUGGGCGCAGUGCUGGAGUGGCUGCCCAGAGGAGAGAUGGUUCAUUUUGACCGAGGCCCGUCUGGUGGUUCGUUGCUGUGAUGUAUUUCGGCAUCAUCGACGCAGGUUCACCAGCCUCAUCUCGACCUUGGAAAUGUUGCGGUAUUUUACAGUGUGUGGUGACAUUUAUGGGCCCAUUUGGACACCCACAAAGAGGUUGAUUUCCAUAGAUUAAAUGUCAAGUUUGAAGCCAUCCAGGGUAAUUGAAUCCUUGAAUGUUGUCCACUUCGAUUCUCAGCUGGGGCCGUUGACUGGACAUUUGUGCUCUGUUACAAACUCUUGAGUGCAGCCCAAAUUGCUUAAUGCCAAAAGGUCACUCUGUGAGUCCAGGGGGAGGGUGUCGGUAGGGAGGACCAUGGCACUGGAGUUUGAUACCUGCAGAAAUGUUGCCUUGUUUUUAUUUCUUUAAAUGAAAGCACAUAUGUGGUUAGUUGGUGAAUACAUUACCGGGGACAGAAGAAAAAAAACCCCACCAACUAAGACUUCCUAGAUGUCAGUUAGUUUAAAAUAUCUAACCAUCUAUGUUUUGUCAAGAGCAAAAGGCUAAAAAGAACUUCACUGUAAUGUUUUAAGUAGGAAUAGUUUUAAACGGCAUUAAACACAUAUACAUAAACUUGGCAUGAGCGUCAUUUAAAUUGAAGGGUAGCAAAAAAGCAUCAAAUAAUUUCUGAGAUAUUGAAACGUAUUCACCUGCUGAUUGUCCAGAGAACAUGUGUGUCUUCAGACUUUGGAUCUGAGUGUCUUGAAUUUUUGUCCUCACAAGGAACUGGAGUUAAAUGGAUCCAAUACGGGUACACCCACACCCAUUUCCUCCACUGGUACGCUGUGGCCAGGAGGCGCGGGCCAGCCUCAGAGGCCUUCCUCACUGGGAUUUCUGGCUUUCUGCAGGUUCAGCUGUCCACACGGUGGCAUGGCUUUCUCAGCUCCA
Molecule: long non-coding RNA, 1197 nt
Filed under: Homo sapiens (human)
Lineage: Eukaryota; Metazoa; Chordata; Mammalia; Primates; Hominidae
Description: HSALNT0269690
Source: RNAcentral